This 486-nucleotide ribosomal RNA is filed under the name Neonectria sp. CJL-2014. RNAcentral describes it as "eukaryotic LSU rRNA". The stretch from base 112 to 265 matches the Rfam family "5.8S ribosomal RNA". Lineage: Eukaryota; Fungi; Ascomycota; Sordariomycetes; Hypocreales; Nectriaceae. The record is from RNAcentral.
UGUGACAUACCUAUCGUUGCCUCGGCGGUGCCCGCUCCGGCGGCCCGCCAGAGGACCCCCAAACUCUUGUUUUAUACAGUAUCUUCUGAGUAACACGAUUAAAUAAAUCAAAACUUUCAACAACGGAUCUCUUGGUUCUGGCAUCGAUGAAGAACGCAGCGAAAUGCGAUAAGUAAUGUGAAUUGCAGAAUUCAGUGAAUCAUCGAAUCUUUGAACGCACAUUGCGCCCGCCAGUAUUCUGGCGGGCAUGCCUGUUCGAGCGUCAUUUCAACCCUCAAGCCCCCGGGCUUGGUGUUGGGGAUCGGCGUGCCCUCGCGGCGCGCCGUCCCCUAAAUCUAGUGGCGGUCUCGCUGUAGCUUCCUCUGCGUAGUAGCAACACUCGCACUGGAUCGCAGCGCGGCCACGCCGUUAAACCCCCCACUUCUGAAAGUUUGACCUCGGAUCAGGUAGGAAUACCCGCUGAACUUAAGCAUAUCAAUAAGCGGA